CACUGUAGCUCAGCAGGUAGAGCAGCUCACUCGUAAUGAGCAGGUCAGCGGUUCGAAUCCGCUCAGUG
The sequence is a transfer RNA, 68 nucleotides long. It matches the Rfam family "tRNA". Rfam says of the family: Transfer RNA (tRNA) molecules are approximately 80 nucleotides in length. Their secondary structure includes four short double-helical elements and three loops (D, anti-codon, and T loops).